UACGUAGGACGCAAGCGUUAUCCGGAUUUAUUGGGUUUAAAGGGUGCGUAGGCGGACUUAUAAGUCAGUGGUGAAAGACUGUCGCUCAACGAUAGCAUUGCCAUUGAUACUGUAUGUCUUGAGUACAAUUGAGGUAGGCGGAAUGUGUAGUGUAGCGGUGAAAUGCUUAGAUAUUACACAGAACACCGAUUGCGAAGGCAGCUUACUAAAUUGUUACUGACGCUGAGGCACGAAAGCGUGGGGAUCAAACAGG
Molecule: ribosomal RNA, 253 nt
Filed under: uncultured bacterium
Lineage: Bacteria
Description: partial 16S ribosomal RNA
Rfam family: Bacterial small subunit ribosomal RNA
Source: RNAcentral